CUUCGGACCUCGUGCUAUAGAUGGGCCUAUAUUGGAUUAGCUAGUUGGUAGGGUAAAGGCUACCAAGGCGACGAUCCAUAGCUGGUUUGAGAGAAUGAUCAGCCACACUGGGACUGAGACACGGCCCAG
This 129-nucleotide ribosomal RNA is filed under the name uncultured bacterium. RNAcentral's name for it is "partial 16S ribosomal RNA". It matches the Rfam family "Bacterial small subunit ribosomal RNA", at positions 202 to 334 of the family's 1533-position model. The record is from RNAcentral.